This 732-nucleotide long non-coding RNA is filed under the name Medicago truncatula (barrel medic). RNAcentral's name for it is "lncRNA gene26071". The record is from RNAcentral. Lineage: Eukaryota; Viridiplantae; Streptophyta; Magnoliopsida; Fabales; Fabaceae.
CACAUAACUGCCAUUUUUCGCGCAUAGUAAAUCUUAAUUACCAUACCAGGAUGAUCAAAAUUAUACUCAUGAACACGUUUCGACUCAUCAUUCGUUAAACCGCGGUAGAAAGAAUCCUACAACAAGAGUAAAUAAAUUAGUGAUCAAUGUGAAUUGAUUUGUAUUAACUUGAUGAUUUCUCCUAUGAUCCAUUUCACAUAAUUAGAAGUAGAAAAUGGCAGUGACCUGAUUGACGAGAACAACUCUAUGAUCUUGCAAUUGUUGAAUGAUCAUAUCACACACUGUGGUUUUCCCGGAUGCAGUACCUCCAGAGACUCCUGAUUUAACAAAAGAACAAUGCAGAUCAAAUAAAAACAAAGCACAUGAAACAGAAGCCGAAGCAAGUGAAGAGAUAAAGAGGAAGAUUGUUGUGGAAAUUUACCGAUGAGGAAGACGUUGUUAUGAGAAGAGGAUGAGGUGGAUGAAGAAGGGUGGCAACCGGAGAAAUGCGCAGCGGAGGAGGAGAGAGAUUCCAAUACAGCAGCGUCCAUUGCGCUUUGUUUGUCUAUCACUCUUUCUUCCAACGCUCUUAUAUACUUACGCUUUCUUGUUUUUUUUUUUUUGUAUACUCUUUUUUCCUAACCGCCUUUUUUUCAUUCGUUUUCCAUAGAUUUCAUGAACAUAUCGAAGUUUGAAUCAUGAUUGGCUACUUUGUAGAUAGUAUCUAAUUUGUUACGAGUAAAUAGGUAAAAA